UGAGGACUACAACUACGAGCAGAGAACAUCGCUGGAUCCAAAGUUAGUCCUGGGUCUUGUUCUCCAGUCCUGCUCCUCUCUGCAUCUCCUGGUGGCACAGGACUGGCGCAGUCUCCUCGUAUUCUGUCCAUGAUCACAGUCUCAGAACAGGAAUAUUUUGGGAUGCUGCUAUCCCAUUUACUCACAAAUUCUGAUCUGAAACCUGUGCAUGGAAGAAUAAUCACGGGAUCAUCAUAGCUGUGAGAACACCCUGCCUGUAGUCUCUGCAUGCUUCAAGGCUCCAUGCUCUCCUGCUCUUCCUGCCUUAUUCAAGGACACUGUCUCCAAGAAGACCUGUUCUCCCUCCCUCUUGUUCCUUGCCUGCCUGCUGGUUGCAACAACCUUGAGUCUUCAAGGAACUUUUGAGCUACCUAACACCCGAGCAGGAUGGUGGUAUAGCAAAAUUGGGAAGAAUAUUGGACUUAGAUCGAACUAUUCACAGACUGGAGGAGCAGCAAGAAUAAGACCUAUGUCUUUCAGAAGACUAUAAACCACUCACUGUAAUCAUCAAACCCCAGAAGACCCACACAAGGAAUGGACUACUUUAACAUAUAGCUAAAGGGUAAAUUUAUCACAUUGAAAUUUGGUGGGAUUGAAACAUUGGAUUCCUAUAUACCACUGUGGAAAUUCAGCCUCUGAGGUCCUGAAGAACUGUGUUUCAGAAUAGAAUUACGCUUUCAAAAUUGCACUCAUGUACUGCUGUGGUUUCUUUCAGCAGUUUCUGAUCAUAUACCUUCAUAAGAACUCAGUUCCCUACCUGAUGAGGGCUGAGGCAAAGAUCCUGCCACGUUUCAGCAGCCACAAGUUCAUGAAAAGCCAGAAUCAAAUCCAUUUCCAUAUCUCCCUCCUGGACUAAGUGAAAAGCAAUCAGCUCAUAUGCUGUGAUGUCAGAGACUAUGAAGCUAACUGCAAAGAGAAAAAAGAGCCCAAGAAUAAAGGUGCAUAUGCCUGAAUGUACUUCUUAGCACAGUCUUAAAUUACAGCAGUAAACAGAAUACUUUAAAAAAUUUCACUCUUUUAUAUGGGUCCAAAAUUGUCCUCUAUAAAGUCUAGGUACAAACUCACUUGAUUUUCUUCAAGGACUAAACCCAAGAGAUUUUGACAAACACUGGGGUGCAAAACAUACUGUCCAGAGCUAGGAUCCUUCUGACUGCUAUGUUUAAUGUAAAAUGAGUUAGAAACUGGAUGACAGUCUCUACCACUGGGUUACACAAAUGCCAGAACUACAAACAGAAACAGGUAGUAGGCAGAAGACGGCUUGCAGCUCUUAAGUCAGGAAAUGCCAGGUGUAAUAUAAAAAUAAAAACCCCAACCUUUAAAUAAACUAAGCUGUAUUUCAGAGUUUGUAUUUUCAGAGUAUGGUGAUAUGUGUUUAUUUCUGUCUAGAGAGCCAUCAUACUGUUCAGAGGCAAGAGGUCAUUUUCUUCUACAUUUAGGCUGUUCGUAACAGGUCUAUUUUGACUUUCCACACUAAUGCAGCUUUUAAUUGCCUAUGAAAUUGCAUCACCCUGAGGGAACUUCAUAGUAACAUUCAAAAUCAUGUUUUCCUUUUUUGUGAUCAGGGAUCAGAAGAAAAGUUACAGAAACUGGAAUCAUAAACAUAGUGCAAGAAAUUUACAGAUCGGCUAUAAAAUGGAAAUUGUAUUAACUGAGAG
Long non-coding RNA from Grus americana (Whooping crane), 1694 nucleotides. RefSeq lists it as uncharacterized. The record is from RefSeq and is a predicted model, not a curated record. NCBI's taxonomy places the organism in Eukaryota, Metazoa, Chordata, Aves, Gruiformes, Gruidae. The transcript is spliced from 4 exons.